CCUACGGGAGGCAGCAGUGAGGAAUAUUGGACAAUGGGUGAGAGCCUGAUCCAGCCAUCCCGCGUGAAGGACGACGGCCCUAUGGGUUGUAAACUUCUUUUGUAUAGGGAUAAACCUUUCCACGUGUGGAAAGCUGAAGGUACUAUACGAAUAAGCACCGGCUAACUCCGUGCCAGCAGCCGCGGUAAUACGGAGGGUGCAAGCGUUAUCCGGAUUUAUUGGGUUUAAAGGGUCCGUAGGCGGAUCAGUAAGUCAGUGGUGAAAUCUCAUAGCUUAACUAUGAAACUGCCAUUGAUACUGCUGGUCUUGAGUAAGGUAGAAGUAGCUGGAAUAAGUAGUGUAGCGGUGAAAUGCAUAGAUAUUACUUAGAACACCAAUUGCGAAGGCAGGUUACUAUGUCUUAACUGACGCUGAUGGACGAAAGCGUGGGGAGCGAACAG
Molecule: ribosomal RNA, 440 nt
Filed under: uncultured bacterium
Lineage: Bacteria
Description: bacterial SSU rRNA
Rfam family: Bacterial small subunit ribosomal RNA
Source: RNAcentral